This 449-nucleotide ribosomal RNA is filed under the name uncultured bacterium. Its description in RNAcentral is "partial 16S ribosomal RNA". It matches the Rfam family "Bacterial small subunit ribosomal RNA", at positions 29 to 523 of the family's 1533-position model. The record is from RNAcentral.
AACGAACGCUGGCGGCAGGCCUAACACAUGCAAGUCGAACGCCCUGGCAACAGGGAGUGGCAGACGGGUGAGUAACGCGUGGGAACGUGCCCUUCGGUUCGGAAUAACUCAGGGAAACUUGAGCUAAUACCGGAUACGUGCGAGAGCAGAAAGAUUUAUCGCCGAAGGAUCGGCCCGCGUCCGAUUAGCUAGUUGGUGAGGUAACGGCUCACCAAGGCGACGAUCGGUAGCUGGUCUGAGGGGAUGAUCAGCCACACUGGGACUGAGACACGGCCCAGACUCCUACGGGAGGCAGCAGUGGGGAAUAUUGGACAAUGGGCGCAAGCCUGAUCCAGCCAUGCCGCGUGAGUGAUGAAGGCCCUAGGGUUGCAAAGCUCUUUCGCCAGGGACGAUAAUGACGGUACCUGGAUAAGAAGCCCCGGCUAACUUCGUGCCAGCCGCCGCGGUAA